Long non-coding RNA from Chenopodium quinoa (quinoa), 1216 nucleotides. RefSeq lists it as uncharacterized. The record is from RefSeq and is a predicted model, not a curated record. The transcript has 4 exons. NCBI's taxonomy places the organism in Eukaryota, Viridiplantae, Streptophyta, Magnoliopsida, Caryophyllales, Amaranthaceae.
AAAACCGAUGGGAAAGAAAAGGGGAAAAACGGGCGCGAUUUUGAGGGAAGAGUAUUGCCACCGGUUUAAAACGAACCGGUGGGAAAAUAUUAAUCCCACUGGUUUGAACCGGUGGCUUUGUUAAAAAAAAAAAACGCGCUCAUAUGAAUAGGCCAAAACCCUAGCCUCUCAUGCAUCGCCUCCCUCCUCCUCCUCUCUUCUCUCUCUCUCUUCUUUCUCCUCUGCUUCUCUUUCCUCAACUAGCUAGAUCUCUCUGCUUCUCUCUCAUUAUCAACAACCAUCAUCGCCGCCGCCCCUUCUCUCAUCUGCUUCUCUUUCGUUCUCUCAUUAGGGCUCAGUUGCAAAAUCGAAAAUCUCCCCUAAAAACAUAAAACUCCGGAGAAAGCUCAACAACGGCGGACGGAGGCGACAUGGAAAUCUCUCUUGACAAACUCCCUAGCAAACACCUCGAAAUCAUCGAAGAAUUCAGCGUCGAACGCUUCUCAUCUUACAUUAUCUCUCCUCCAUCUUUACAAUUGCUUAAUUUGACCUAAUUUUUCUGUAAUUUUUGUUGAUUUUGAUUUUAAAUUAUGGAAUAUUUUCAGCGACAUCGAAUACGAAGAGAAAUCAGUGAACUUGAUUCGGACUUUGCUUGGGCGUUGGAGAGAGAUGCGAAGAAGCAGAAGAAGACGAAGGAAUCAUCAGCGCCCUCCACAUUGCAAGGGGUGAUUGAGAAUUUGAGAUUGGCUUAUCAAGAGCUCUCUAUUAUCAUUGAUUUAAUUAACACUCCAGGUUGGUUCUUGCUUUGGGGGCUAAACCAAAGCUCGACAUGGUACCAAGGGUUGUAGAAUAUGCUCUGCCAUUUUCCACUUUUGAGGAUACAUGUAACUACAGGAAAAAUGAGGAGACUGCGGUUGAGAAGAUAAAGGAGCCUAUUUUUGAUGAGAUCACUCAUGCCUUAAUCGGACGCUAUGGGUUGAAUUUCACUAGACAAGAUAUAUCUUCUCUCCGGUUUUAAUGCAAGCAGGUUCUAGAAUUUCAUCUAAGAAGUUCAAUUUUUUACUAAGAUAUGGGGCUUCUUUUGUGCUAGUGUUCUGCUUCUGUGCUGCUCCUUAUGUGUUGUUGUUCUGCACUUCUGCUACUGUGUAGCUGCAUAUGUUUGUAACCUUGUAAUUUAUUUUAAUUUUUUAGACAAAAAUUGUAAUAUUACAACAUUUUUUUUUUAUGAAAAUAUGUA